GACCAGUUGGUGAUUAUGGACCCUUAUCAACUUUCCCAAGCGCGGCUGCACACGAACCUUCAACAUUGAUGUCCACACGCUACGCCUUUAUGACGCCCUACGAUUCUGCGAUGGUCGUACGAUGGUCGUACGAUGCUACCAACCAAUGGCAAACAAACUGCAACGUCACGUAGCACCGCCGUUCAAAUCCAACCUACUAGUGCCACCAUCAAAUAUUUUCAGAGGUAUUUGGCCUAGGCGUUGGAUAUGAUUAUUGCACACGCCUUUCAUCCAGAAAGGAGGAUGUCAUGUCGGCAAAGGUGAUCCAUCGGGUAAACCGGUUUACAAUGAGGAUUCGCUCUUGCCCCGGGUCUGCAUCAACCUUGAAGCUCCCUAUUAUUAUUUUCUUUUAUUUCAGGUAAGCUUAAUGUCAAGUAAUGCUAGUAGUGUUGUUGACAGGCAGGGCGAGCGAGUGACUUUGUUAUAUAAACCUUUUGCAUUGUAGCAAGAACCCAAGGACAUAAUUUUAACGACUGUCAGCACAAGUCAUCCUUCAGACCCUGAAUGUGCUGGCCUUUGAUCGCGUUGUUAUUAUGAGCUUUAAAAUACUUAAAAAUUUUGUUUUCCUUCCUGCUACAUUGCGAAUUCUGAACAAGCAUUUUAUGCAAUAGGACGUGAUACAAAGUGUAUCAUUGUAGCCAUAUCAGCCUCAAGAAGUCUCUUUAAUUUCUGACAAGCGGAAAUGUCGACUAAGUAGUACGUACAUCAUAACGUAUGAUACAUUGUUUGGUCCCUAAUUUGGUAGGUAAAGCAUUGGCGUUAUUAAUAUUAAUUUCUUUUUCAUUUCCUCAAAAUUCAGG
Daphnia carinata is the source of this 839-nucleotide long non-coding RNA. RefSeq lists it as uncharacterized. The transcript has 3 exons. The record is from RefSeq and is a predicted model, not a curated record. Lineage: Eukaryota; Metazoa; Arthropoda; Branchiopoda; Diplostraca; Daphniidae.